UAUACCUUAGUAUAAUAUGUGCAUUAAACUUUGAUUUUAAAGGUGUUAAAUUAUUUUAACAGGUGUAU
This 68-nucleotide transfer RNA is filed under the name Ophraella communa. RNAcentral describes it as "tRNA-Gln". The record is from RNAcentral. Lineage: Eukaryota; Metazoa; Arthropoda; Insecta; Coleoptera; Chrysomelidae.